UACUGCAUUCAUGUUUGCCAAAAAUCUUAACAGAUGAUUCUAUUCUUGAUUCUGAUAACACAGCUGUUUAUAUUGCUGCCAGUAGGAAAGGAACAGAUUAAAAGUGACUGCUGAUGAUCUUGGAGCCUGAAUUCGCAGAAUGAAACAGAAGAUCAUACACCUUUCAUAACUUUGUGGCAGAAAAAUUGGGAAUGUAAGACUGGAAGAGACCUGCUGGAUCACUGAAUUCAGCAUAUACUGAUAGGAAACUAGGCAUUUCCUCCUGCAUGUGGUCUAGAGGCACUACCCUGGAACUGAUCACUGAUCUACAGCAGCAGUUUACAACAGCAGAAAAACACAGAUCGCCUAAACAACCAAACAUACAGUUCUCUGCCCUUUCUUCAUCAGAAGUAUGUCAGUGUAGCACUGAAGGUGUUCAAGUCUUAAAUAGCCUGAACUGGUGUUGAGAGCUAAAAGAGCAGGCGAGGGUAAGCCGUGGGUGUUAGGUACAUUGCAAGAGCCAGAACUGACAUAAAGCUCAUAAAGU
Dromaius novaehollandiae (emu) is the source of this 526-nucleotide long non-coding RNA. RefSeq lists it as uncharacterized. Lineage: Eukaryota; Metazoa; Chordata; Aves; Casuariiformes; Dromaiidae. The transcript has 3 exons. The record is from RefSeq and is a predicted model, not a curated record.